GAUGGCCUGCGACGCAGGUGGUCGUUGCGAAAGCCUAUUUGAACCAACACUGGAUCCCAGGGCGCCUGCGUUGCCCUGCCCUUGUGCAUGUCCCGGCCGGCUUGCCGGAGCGGGAAAGCCUUAAAGCAGGCGCUGGGCGCCCGACUUUGCGAGUGGGGUUCAGGGCCUAGCACGCACGGCGGAGCGGACCGCUC
Molecule: non-coding RNA, 194 nt
Filed under: Acidobacteriota bacterium
Lineage: Bacteria; Pseudomonadati; Acidobacteriota
Description: 6S RNA
Rfam family: 6S / SsrS RNA
About the family: E. coli 6S RNA was the first non coding RNA to be sequenced, but its function was unknown until recently.
Source: RNAcentral